GAGAGACUUAGGUAGACGUGUGGCUUAGUUAUAUUUGGGCCUAACACUUUUUUUAUGGGAAUAAGAAUAUCUUGUUAGUAUGACAAGCAGUUUCUCUUUUUGACAAACUGAUCUCAGAAACCAGAUCUAUUAUACCCACCUGAAUAUAUCAGGACCAUUCUUAUUAAGAUACUACGUUACCUCGGUUAUUGC
This 192-nucleotide non-coding RNA is filed under the name Gemelliphila asaccharolytica. RNAcentral describes it as "Gemella asaccharolytica 6S / SsrS RNA". It matches the Rfam family "6S / SsrS RNA". Rfam says of the family: E. coli 6S RNA was the first non coding RNA to be sequenced, but its function was unknown until recently. It consists of 184 nucleotides that fold into an extended hairpin structure with a large single-stranded internal bulge. The 6S RNA specifically associates with RNA polymerase holoenzyme containing the sigma70 specificity factor. The record is from RNAcentral. Lineage: Bacteria; Bacillati; Bacillota; Bacilli; Caryophanales; Gemellaceae.